CUAGUAUUCUCUCCAUACGAAAAUACUUGUCAUUAAAAUGGAUAAAAAGAGAUAUAUCUAGAACUAAAAUACAUCUAGAUACAUCUUCUUUUAUUUGUUUUGAUGACAAGUAUUUCGGAGGGACUACUGU
Non-coding RNA from Triticum aestivum (bread wheat), 130 nucleotides. The record is from Rfam. NCBI's taxonomy places the organism in Eukaryota, Viridiplantae, Streptophyta, Magnoliopsida, Poales, Poaceae.